Molecule: non-coding RNA, 234 nt
Filed under: Aneurinibacillus sp.
Lineage: Bacteria; Bacillati; Bacillota; Bacilli; Caryophanales; Paenibacillaceae
Description: T-box sequence
Rfam family: T-box leader
About the family: Uncharged tRNA acts as the effector for transcription antitermination of genes in the T-box leader family. T-boxes are found upstream of many aminoacyl-tRNA synthetase genes and some amino acid biosynthetic genes usually in Gram-positive bacteria.
Source: RNAcentral
UUAUUCACGAUGAAGGCGUAUCAGUAGUGGCUUUGGAACCGGAAGCAGCAGAGAGUCGGUGGAAGGUGAGAACCGGCCCGGCCAGGCAGCGAAAUACAGCGUUGGAGUGAAUUCCGCUCCGUAUAGAUGUGUGGGCGGACGGUAUAUUCGUUUGGAAUAGGCCGUUAUCCGUAUGAGUGAAGGGCUUUUUUGCCCUUAAGUAAGGGUGGUACCGCGAGCAAACUCGUCCCUUUU